AAUGAGCGCCGUGUUUAAACAAGUGUAUAGAACACAUCUGUCCGGGCCUUGGGACUCGAGGCUGUGUGACCAAUUUCAGCAUCUGAAAGUUAAAUUAAUGGUAAAGGGUUUAAUUGUGAGUAAACAAUACCACAUUAAGGAGCAGUAAACACAGCAGUGGGGACCCACCGACCCGCUCUGCCAUCACAGAUGCGGCGGCCUCCAUGUGACCGUUAAUAGUCCCCGCCGCCUGGAAGUUCUGACAGCGCCCUGAAGCCCAUUUGUCAUCUAAAUGGUCCGUCCCCUUCUUAAACAUCAUUUUGGCCCAAGGUCCAUUCAUGGGGCCUGCCGGGUGUUCCUGGGAAGAUGGGCAGAAAAUCCCAAGGCCACCAUUUAGUGCCAAUAAACAGAAGGCCUGGUUUCUUCAAAAGAAACACAAGAAAUUGUUUCCUGGUUUUGCCACAGAGAUUGGGUCACAGAGUGCCACCUAAAUGGUAUUACCAUAUUUGUGUUGUCGCCUCUUGGUUUGAAAUUUAUUCCUGGUAUGACUUGUGUCUCCCCUUGUUCCAUCUCUGACACCCAAGCCCAUGGGAUGACAACCCAGGCUGAGAUGUCCCAUGUGUCACAAAGGAGUCCUUCAGUAUUUCCAGGAAUAGUUGGAACCAGCACUCCAUCCCCUACCUGGACCUGGCACCCUCUCUACUCUUGUCAAUUCUACACUAAUCACAGGAAGAAGGUGGAAUUAGUCCAAGCUGGGUUUUCAGAAAUAACUUGUAGACAUGCAACAGAUGUUUAUAACCCUCAGAAGCGGAAGGAAACUUGGAAACCCUCUCUUUCGGUGACUUUUUUUCUAAUGAUUGUCUCUGCCAUGAAAUUCUAACUUCAAAUGAAAUCUUUGGCAGGAACCCAGGGCUGUUCUGUCAAGGUUCAGCUGCAGGACCAGAGCCCCUUCCACCUAACCCCCACUCCUAUCCUGAUGCUUCCUGAGGCACAUCUGCUGUGGUUUCUCACCAGAGAACAGUCUGCAAAAUCACUGCACCUUGUCCAACUCCAUUUUCCAACUGAGAAGACUUGGCCCAGAGAAGUGCACAGACUUGAGGGAAGUAACACAGCAAUCGGACAGACAGACAUCCCCAGAUAUACCUGCUACGGUCCUGGGAGAAAAUAGAGACCCAUCCCCAAAUACCAUCAUCCUCAUCAUUCUCUGUAGCCCAAUCAAAUGAUGCUCCAGGCCUGAGAUUUUAUCCAAUGAACACUCUGUACAUCUUUAAAAGAGAUAUGUACUUGUCUUAUUCCUCCUUUCCUUUCUUUAAAAAAAAACACAGGCCCCAGAUCCAGUCAUUCUAAAUAGGAAGGAAAAACAUAACCCACUGAGGCAAUGGAUGCUGUUUCUCUCCCUGCUCUGUGACUUUAGUUUGCCUUUAAAGCCCAUUUUCACCAUUUAUUGAUUUUAGUUUUCUACUUGUCUAUGAAUGACAACUUGAAUUAAGACAACGCAGGCUGAAAAGCCGCUAGGCAGUGCUAAAUGGACAAGCUACACUUCGUGGCAGGAUGUCUCAUGACCGUGCCACCUUCUGCCUAGCCCCAUUCUCUGGAGGAGCUGUGGGCAGACCGACCCCAGCCUGGCCGCCUGGCAUGGGGACUGGUUGCGUCAGAUCGGAGCUCUGAGAUAAGGGUGGGCCAGGGCAUGAUCAUCACCACUGCCAGCCUCGAAGCCUCUUUGCUGACCUGGAGGUGAUCUGUGUAUCAAAGGGGGCUGUGUAUUCAACAGCACUUCCAGAAGAGGCCAAAGAUCUGUCUCUACUUCAGCCUCCACUGGGCAGAAAACUAAGCCUAUUUGCUCUAGGCCCUUCAGACUUGCACUUGGAGAAAGAAAACUCACUAAGUCAGCCCUUAUGUAACUCCACUCUCCUCUCUUCCAAACCUCCUUGCUUUGGACAAAUAUUUGACAGAAAAUGCCCUUUUGCAACGCCUUAAAAGUUACAAAAAUGGUGCACCCUAUCCUUUAAUCUGUACUGUAAAUAAAAAAUAUUAACAC
Molecule: long non-coding RNA, 2017 nt
Filed under: Homo sapiens (human)
Lineage: Eukaryota; Metazoa; Chordata; Mammalia; Primates; Hominidae
Description: long intergenic non-protein coding RNA 2140
Source: RNAcentral